This 891-nucleotide long non-coding RNA is filed under the name Scleropages formosus (Asian bonytongue). RNAcentral describes it as "lncRNA (ENSSFOG00015025827.1)". Lineage: Eukaryota; Metazoa; Chordata; Actinopteri; Osteoglossiformes; Osteoglossidae. The record is from RNAcentral.
CACGCAGACACACCUGGUUUAUGGCGUGUGGGGCAGAUGGAGGCACCACAGUUGGCUACUCAGAUGAGAACUUUGUCACACACUGUAGGUGAUGGAACAUUUCCGACUUUAUUAGUAGCUCAGUUGAAAAAAAGUGUAUACUUUGGGAUUCUGCUGCAUCCUGGUGUCCAACGGUAACUUGUGCCGAACCAAAGACAAGGCUGAUGGCUCCCGCCUCCACCCCAACUCCCCUCCAGGUCCUGCCCAUGUGCAUAAACUGGUUUGACAUGUUGCCAUUGAAGCAACCAGAAGGAAGCGUUGACUCUCAAAGGCCUGCCAUCGCUGCAAGUCAGGACAGCCAAAUGCUCACACCAAUAAGGAGGCAGAGGAGUUUGAGACUCAGGAGGACAUGUCCAAGUCCAUCUCCUGUGGACAGAUUUAGACCAGAUUUACAGGUUUAAUAAAAUGAAGCCUUCAGAGAAAAGAACACCUUUCUUUUAGUGAAACAUGGAUAAGGUUAAGUGAUGUUUUGAGGUUGCUUUGCUGCCUCUGUCCCAAGUGCCUUCAACAGGUGCAUGGAAUCAUGAAAUAAGGAGAAUAACAAGGCAUUUGGCAGCAUGAUGUUCUACCCAGAAAGAUAAGCCUCCAUCAAAGGUUAUGGGUCUUUCAGCACUACAGUAGCCCAAAGCAGACUGUUCUGAAGUGUCCAGCUUUGGGUCCAUAUCUGAAUCCCACUGAAAACAGCUGUUGCGAGAAGGCACCGUUCCAGUGUGGGAGAACUGGAGCAGUUUGCAGAAGAAGAGUGGGUGAAACUGUGAGAAGAGAGGUGCAGGGAACUCAACAAUGGCUAUAGGAGGUGCCUUAUUACCGUUAUUCUAAUAAAAAGCUUUGCUACCAAAUAUUAAGGUGUCA